GACGAACGCUGGCGGCGUGCUUAACACAUGCAAGUCGAACGGUGAAGCGCCUUCCUUUUUGGUGGGUGUGGAUGAGUGGCGAACGGGUGAGUAACACGUGAGUAACCUGCCCCCUUCUUCUGGAUAACCGCAUGAAAGUGUGGCUAAUACGGGAUAUUCUGGGUCUGUCGCAUGAUGGGUCUGGGAAAGAUAUUGUUUCGGUGGGGGAUGGGCUCGCGGCCUAUCAGGUUGUUGGUGGGGUGAUGGCCUACCAAGGCUGUGACGGGUAGCCGGCCUGAGAGGGUGGACGGUCACACUGGGAAUACGACACGGCCCAGACUACGACGGGAGGCAGCAGUGGGGAAUAUUGCACAAUGGGAGCAAGCAUGAUGCAGCGACGCCGCGUGAGGGAUGGAGGCCUUCGGGUUGUGAACCUCUUUCGCCAGUGAAGCAGGCCUGCCUCGUUUGUGGGUGGGUUGACGGUAGCUGGAUAAGAAGCGCCGGCUAACUACGUG
Molecule: ribosomal RNA, 494 nt
Filed under: uncultured bacterium
Lineage: Bacteria
Description: partial 16S ribosomal RNA
Rfam family: Bacterial small subunit ribosomal RNA
Source: RNAcentral